Molecule: long non-coding RNA, 1097 nt
Filed under: Athene cunicularia (burrowing owl)
Lineage: Eukaryota; Metazoa; Chordata; Aves; Strigiformes; Strigidae
Description: lncRNA (ENSACUG00000004764.1)
Source: RNAcentral
UUUUGCCAGGGACCUUUUUGUCAUUGGGAAUUUAGAGACUGGGUUUGUAAAGGGUUGGUUAAGUCAGAAUACAAAGAAAACUCCUGAGCAACUAUUGUGGCAGGCCAUCUUCUUUCAAAGGCUACCAGAGGCCUGUACCAGGAGACUCCACCCAGAAGGAGAAUGAGCAAGGGACCAACAAGUGACAGCUUCUUUAGCCCUGCAGAGCUGGAGCUCUGUUGUCUAGGCCAUGGAUUUGCACUGAAAUAGGAAUUAUUGGAAUAAAUAAAUGAGGUCAUUAUAACCUUCCAUAAAGCCAGAGUGUCGUUGUCUUGAAGCAGGGAGAUCAAAGAAGCAAAGACCAGGCUGAUGUACAAUUAUUAUUUUCCUUCAACUGCAAGAAUUAGUGACUCUAGCUGCCUGAGAAGUGGGAAGGAGGAAUUGUGACUAUGCUCACUUAAAUACUAUUUAAGUAGCAUUACUGUCUCUCUAGAUCUCAAUCGAAACGCAUGCUUUCCAAUCUUUUUUUAAUCUGUAGCCCAUAAGUUUUGUCCCCUGGCAAGGCAGUCCUGGGUGGAUGGAAGGUCAGCAUAUUGACAGUCUUCUUCACUGCUUUCCAUUCAUGUCUUAAAAUCUGGAGUUGCAGACAGCCUAUUUUUACUUCUGAGUAAAUGCAAGGAGUUUACUUGAAUUUACUGUUGCUGUUCACUGUAGUUGUUUAAGGUGCAGUCUAUCACCACCUGUUUACAAUAUACAAAAGAUGAGAAGGAAGCAAGUUUUCCAGAAGCCUUAAAAUUGUAGUGAUCACCCAUUAGGUAAAUUGUGCAUCCGUCCUUCUGGGGAUUUUUGCCUUAAUAAGUGUAAUCAAAAGGUUGUAUCAGGUGACGUCAAUAUUUAAUAUUUUUUCAGAACUUUGGACGCCAUGGGAAAGGUGCAAGGAAAUUAAGACAGGAACUGAGACUGGAGAAAAAGGUAAAGCAAGAACUGGAAAAGAAGAACUCACAAGUGAAAAACAUAACGCCAUUGGUCAGUACUUGCUUAGGGGAGCUGAAAAGGUCAGAGUGUGUUCAUACCACGUGCACCAUCUUUCUGAGUUCAGUUUGCAACUCCAUCUCUGA